This 854-nucleotide ribosomal RNA is filed under the name uncultured bacterium. RNAcentral's name for it is "bacterial SSU rRNA". It matches the Rfam family "Bacterial small subunit ribosomal RNA", at positions 15 to 916 of the family's 1533-position model. The record is from RNAcentral.
GAUCCUGGCUCAGAACGAACGCUGGCGGCAGGCCUAACACAUGCAAGUCGAGCGAGAUCUUCGGAUCUAGCGGCGGACGGGUGAGUAACGCGUGGGAACGUACCCUCUUCUGCGGGAUAGCCACUGGAAACGGUGAGUAAUACCGCAUACGCCCUUCGGGGGAAAGAUUUAUCGGAGGAGGAUCGGCCCGCGUUGGAUUAGGUAGUUGGUGGGGUAAUGGCCUACCAAGCCUACGAUCCAUAGCUGGUUUUAGAGGAUGAUCAGCCACACUGGGACUGAGACACGGCCCAGACUCCUACGGGAGGCAGCAGUGGGGAAUCUUAGACAAUGGGCGCAAGCCUGAUCUAGCCAUGCCGCGUGAGUGACGAAGGCCUUAGGGUCGUAAAGCUCUUUCGCCUGUGAUGAUAAUGACAGUAGCAGGUAAAGAAACCCCGGCUAACUCCGUGCCAGCAGCCGCGGUAAUACGGAGGGGGUUAGCGUUGUUCGGAAUUACUGGGCGUAAAGCGCACGUAGGCGGAUUGGAAAGUAUGGGGUGAAAUCCCAGGGCUCAACCCUGGAACGGCCUCAUAAACUUCCAGUCUGGAGUUCGAGAGAGGUGAGUGGAAUUCCGAGUGUAGAGGUGAAAUUCGUAGAUAUUCGGAGGAACACCAGUGGCGAAGGCGGCUCACUGGCUCGAUACUGACGCUGAGGUGCGAAAGUGUGGGGAGCAAACAGGAUUAGAUACCCUGGUAGUCCACACCGUAAACGAUGAAUGCCAGUCGUCGGCAAGCAUGCUUGUCGGUGACACACCUAACGGAUUAAGCAUUCCGCCUGGGGAGUACGGUCGCAAGAUUAAAACUCAAAGGAAUUGACGG